GACGAACGCUGGCGGCGUGCUUAACACAUGCAAGUCGAACGGAAAGGCCCUGCUUUUGUGGGGUGCUCGAGUGGCGAACGGGUGAGUAACACGUGAGUAACCUGCCCUUGACUUUGGGAUAACUUCAGGAAACUGGGGCUAAUACCGGAUAGGAGCUCCUGCUGCAUGGUGGGGGUUGGAAAGUUUCGGCGGUUGGGGAUGGACUCGCGGCUUACCAGCUUGUUGGUGGGGUAGUGGCUUACCAAGGCUUUGACGGGUAGCCGGCCUGAGAGGGUGACCGGCCACAUUGGGACUGAGGUACGGCCCAGACGCCUACGGGAGGCAGCAGUGGGGAAUAUUGCACAAUGGGCGGAAGCCUGAUGCAGCAACGCCGCGUGCGGGAUGACGGCUUUCGGGUUGUAAACCGCUUUCGCCUGUGACGAAGCGUGAGUGACGGUAAUGGGUAAAGAAGCACCGGCUAACUACGUG
Molecule: ribosomal RNA, 468 nt
Filed under: uncultured bacterium
Lineage: Bacteria
Description: partial 16S ribosomal RNA
Rfam family: Bacterial small subunit ribosomal RNA
Source: RNAcentral